Small nucleolar RNA from Mytilus trossulus (common blue mussel), 221 nucleotides. RefSeq annotates it as small nucleolar RNA SNORA73 family. The transcript has a single exon. Lineage: Eukaryota; Metazoa; Mollusca; Bivalvia; Mytilida; Mytilidae. The record is from RefSeq and is a predicted model, not a curated record.
CCAAUGUUGACAUCCUGGCGUUUCUGGCUUUUGUUAGAAUAUGCUUUGCUCUGUCUUUGUGGCGUAUGGGAGCUGAAUGUCUCACAAGGACUUGAUGCAUAUUCCCGUUCCACAACAUUGGAAAUUAACUCAGGUCUAGGCCUGAACCCCAUAUAUUCCAUCACUUUCUCAUAGCUACUAUGUGGCAGUUACCGAGGAAGAAGACCAUAUGGGGAACAAAC